GCUUGUGGAAUCAUGUAACUGAGGGCUAUGGGAAAUAGCAGGUGGUGGCUUGUUGGCCAGAUUUCAGGAGCAGAGAUGGAGGCUUCAGAAGUGGACACUGCAUACAAGAGAAGGAAAACAAAAAACAAACCAGCCUCAGAUUACAGGGUUAAAGCUAAACAGUGAAGAGCUCCCUUGUGUACCUGACCUGACUUUACAUUCCUCUGCCGCAGUUUCCUCAUGGGUGGGCGCCUAUAGGAACUCUUUGAUCAUUUCUCACGUGAUGCCUCGUUUUCUGCACAAGGAGCCUUUCACGAAAAAUGUUGAAAAAAAAGACAGAAAGAAAACGACUGUUGUCAAAACAUAUAAUAGCGUUGAUCCAAUAAUCUAACAAUUAUCCAUCAAACACUUUGCCUGGAAGAUUUUUGUCUGAACAUGAUAUAAUUACCCAAGCCUGAGUUCUGGGUUGGGAGGUAUUGUGGUGGUUUGGAGCCGAAACCACAGAAGGGAUUAGCUAUCAUAAACUCUUCACCAGACUUUGCUUUAGGGGCUCUGUUCAGCUAAAACAGGCAUGUGCUUUGCUCACUGAAAGACAGAGACAACCAUAACACAAGAGCACAUCACAUAACUUUUCCUGUGACCCUCAUAAAAACUAUUUACCAGUUAUUAAUGGUUUUAUUGACAACACCCAUUAUAAUUAUUGUACCAUUUAACGUUGCACUAAUCAAUAUUUUAAUACAGUGUGCUAAUUGACUGUAUUAUGUAGAAAGGGUCACAUGUAGCAGCAAAUUACCUUUCAGCUAAUAGUUUGGGGUUUGGGUCGCAGUCCUUAUUGCCCUCAUGGGACUAGCUGUUUAAAACACACUUUACCCUAACUGUUCAUUAUCAUUCUACAGACAGUGUUAACAACUGUUUAUAACACACUGGAGUUCAAACUAAACUCGUAUAUAGCUUAUAUGUGGCUAAAUAAGCACACACACUCUUUUCAUUACUACUAACAUCUUUACAAGAAGACAAAAAUAUGGUAAAAUUGUAUCGAUAAUGGUUAAAAAAAAAAGAAUCAUCCUAAAAUUAACUGACACUGAAACUAAAAACUGCCGAGCUUUAAACAACAAUGUGGUUAAUUGCUAUAGAAGAAAUAAGUAUCUUACAAAAAGGUUUCUGGGUAUCGCCACCUCAAAUUCAAUCACUAUAAAUUCAAAUAUUUUUCCCAUGUAACUUCAGAUGAAAAUGAAAUGCAAACCUGUAACCUGCAGCAGACAUGUAAGUGAUUGAAGUUCCUGUGCAGGCUAAGCCAUUGCUUUCCUAAAGGGAGAGAGGGGCCACAAACUAGGCCGUAGCGCUUCUAUUAGACUCCUGCAUCUUUAAAUUCAAAUUAUUCUAACUUUCCCCUUGGUUUCCACUUGUUUUGAAAGCGCAACCAGUGAUGUAACUUCAAUAACAUAGUCAGAAAUUUUGCAUGUAAGCGAGCAGUCCUGGAGGAGAAACUCAUUUAUUUAGUUUGAUUUAGUUUUCACCUUUCUGACCAUGUAUGCAUGUGUCUGAUCCUCUUUAUGUAGUGGACCUCAAUGUGGAUUUCAUCAUUUGAGUUUCUCACACUUCAGGAAUAACAAGGUCAAUGCUAAUACUUGCUGAAGCGCUUUUAUAACAGCUUUCUCUUUUAAUGCUUACAAAACAAACAAACGCUCCACACCUUUUUACUUCAGUGCUGAUACCACUGAGUACAAACAAUUAGGCAUUUGCGGUUUCCCUCUAAUAAGAAUAACAGACGCACUACAUUCCAGUCACAACAUAGUUUAUACUAUAGUUGCACACAGAUGAAAGACAUACCUUUGUAGGUGUUCAACACAUUUACAAUGAAGAAAAAUGAAGGGAACGGCUUAAUUUAUCUCAUACAUGAAACAUUCAGGGUGUCUCCACCAGAGAAUGCCUGGGAAAGUCAGAUGAAAAUUAGCCACAAAGAAAACAUAAUUAAGUAACUAUGGGUUGUUCAGGUCCAUCAAGAUUAUUUUUUUCCAUCCCACAUUGCUUUAAAAGCCUGAAAAUUAUUCAAAAGAAAAGCUAAUAUCAAAUGGAAUUUAAAAUUGUGUGUAAUGAGCUGCUUGUAUACUUUCCUUUAAGACUCACCACCUGAGGCAACUUUUUAAAAAAUCAUUAAAAUCAGUACCAUUACAUAUUAUUUUCAAAAAGAAGUAAGGUGACUGAAAAAAAACAACUAUUAUCUUAUUCAAAGCCUUUCAGACAUUUUGGAAAGCACCCCAGGAUUACACAGAGCUUGAUUUUAACAAAACAAUUACCCUGGGAGUGGCACACUGAGCUGUCAUGUUCAUCGAGGAAGGGCAAGUACUGUAUGUCAGACAGAUGAACAAGUCGGGGCUGUGUACUUAUUGUUGUCACCGGCUGGUUGUGGGGUCAACAGAAGGACUGGUUGAAGGGGUGGAGGUAUGUCUGGAAAGUGAGAAGGUAAACUGAGAAGAGGCGCAUCUCUCUUUGCUCUCACCUGGCGACGUGUGAUAAAGUGAAAACAUGAACAACCCCAAUUACAAUGUCAGACCAGACUGUCACUUAAAAAAGAAGCAUAUGCCAGCAAAGUUCUGCUGUUUUGUCAGAUUUGUUGUUUUUUUCUCGGCGUUUUUUAACUGAAUUGAUAGGACAGCUGAAGAGGGACCGUAAAGGUGGGAAGGAAAGAGGGGGAUAGACAUGCAUCACAGGGCCAAGGCCCAGAUUCAGACCUGCAGCUGAUGCUUCAAGGACUGCAGCCUUUGUAUAUGGGUCCCCUGCUCUAACUCUAACUGAGCUAAACCAGUACCCUGGUACCCCGGUAGCAACAAUACAUUUCUCCUACCCUGUUUAGGUCCCCCUUGCAAAAUCAGACUUUGUUCUAUCUCUCAUACAGAACUGAGUCUAAAAACAACUAUUUCAAAUGAUGAUGUUAAUUUUGUGGAAAAUUGACCUUUACUCUCUAUUUCAGCCUUACAGCAUACUGUUUCCCAAGCAACUUCACAGUUGAGGGCACAAACACAGUGCUGGAAUAUUGCAAUCCAAGUCCUUGCUCAAAUGUCAGGGAUACAAUCCAACAUGUAUAUUGUGACCUUAGGCUCCUAGUCCUGACUUCAAAAAUCAGUGAAUCAUGAAGUUCAUGGAUAGUUACCUUUUCCCAGCAUCAAACAGGAAACACUAAACCAGGUGUAAUGUAAACAUGGAGUCUGGAGGUUGGAAGUCACGCACAAACGAUUCCAUGCUUCCCCUGGCACCAAUACUGCAAAUACACGGUGCAGACUUUCAUUGUUACACAGAUGACACUCAACUCUAUGCCCUGUAAAAAUCUGCCUGCUAGAAAUUAAAGAUGUAUAUCAAAAAAAGUUUUACAGUUCAAUGACUCCAAAUCUGAAGUGCUAAUUAGUACCUCCGCCCCCUAGUACUAGCUUGUCCUAUCAAAUAAUGUUUGCUAGUGCCUUCAACCUAGGGGUCAAAUUUGACUCGGAGCUAUCUUUUGAUACCCAGGUAAACCUAUGCAUUCCUGCUUUGCUCAACUGAGACAACUAACCAAAAUCUGAUAAUUCCUUUCCUUUCCCCAAGGACACUUGCAUCAGGAUGAUGUUAUAUUUGUUGUUGCGAGCAAUCUGAACAUUUAUAGGGGGGUACAUUGUGGUUUAAAAAAAAAUACAUGUUCAGAUGGAGUUCCAUCGAUGCAGCCCACGAUGCCAAGGAGGCCAGAGGUCUGGUGGAAAUAAUGUUUAAUAAAAAGGCCGACGGCAGCUUAGUGCCAGUGACCCCCUGCGGAUGGGCCUGACAGGUGGUGGACUUGUGGAUGCCAAUCAUGUCUCCAGCACUGUUUUAAAAAGCACUGUUUGCAAAAAAAAUGAAGUACUAUCAGCAGCUGCAGCAUUGGUGACGGUGUUGCAUUUCAGUCCGACACAAACUGUAAGUACGGUGACAGCUCUUCAGGCCCUCCUAUAGAAUCAAAACCUCUCAAUCAGUUCCUCAUCAACUAUAUGUCCAGUGAAUUGAUCCCUUACAAUUCUCUCCCAACUAAACCGCUCAUUGUAAAGCCUGUAAAUUAGGUAUGCCAUCAUUAACACUUUUCUCUUACUUGUGUCUAAUGUUGUUGCGAUAGUGAGGGCCAGGACUCCUGCCUAGGCGUAAGAUUUACGACCGGUCUUAGUGAAGAGAAGGCUUAAGCCGUGCUGUUGCAGCGGUCGUGUCAGGUUGGACUUAGAACGGCAAGUUAAGACUGACUUAGCUUAAGACCAGGCGUUAACCCUGUAGGUGCAAUGGGCCCCUGGUGACUUCGAUAAACUCAUACAUGCAUUCAUUUCUUCCAGCCUUGGCUAUUGUAAUGGAGCUCAGCGUAAGUUCAGACAGGAAGACUGGUUAUAUUCUUUCACAAAUUAAUUCAUUCUUUCACUUCAACCUAAACUACUUCCUCUGUCUACCUGCUCUGGUGAUCAGCUGAUAAUGGGCUUUUAUUCUUUAAGUAAUUAACCAACCAGAUUCGGGCACAACUUCUCUCAACCAAUCAUCCUGCUGCGGCAAAAUGCUAAAACAGUUCUCUCUCUUCCACAGUCAUUCUGUCAUUUCAGGGCACCGCUGCAACCCACCACCGUCCCAGUCACCUCUAUUCCAGCUCAGCAGAGUCCAGAUCCAGGCUCAUCAUAGCCUACAUCCUCUUCACCACCACCAGUGUCUAGACUCCAUAGGGGGGUAUCCUAACCUGCUGUCGGCCUCAUUACCCUUCAGAGUACAUGAAGUCGUCACGUUGGAGUCUAAUCCCCCAAAGACUUUGCACAUUCAAAUCUAAAUUGUUGCACAUUUAUUGUUAAAUAAAUAAUUGUUCAUUCUCAAUUACGUCUCUCCUGAUUGAAAUGCUCUUUGUUCCAGCAUCAGCAAGUGUAACAUCCAAAGACUGCAGUGUAGUUCAAAACGCUGUUUCCGGGCAUUCAAUGCAAAUAGCAAGAGAAGAGACCACAUUCCACCUGUCCUUGCAUGACUUCGCUGGCUUCCCGUAAUAUCUGUGAUAUACUAACUCCAGUCCAUAUGAGCUUUAACGCUGCCUGAGAUCCUCCUGGGCCCAACUAGCAGUUCUAAACUCGACUGUUCACAAAAGGGGGCUGAGCCUUUGCAGCUCGAGCCCCAGAGCUGUGACACUCCCUGCAGGCAAACUCAGCGUCCUCUUUUAAAUCGGUUCUUAAAAUUCACUUUUAUCCGUUGGCUUUUCUUAACCACUGGCAUUGUUGUGUACUUUUUUUUACCAGGCUUUUAUGUUAAAUUGAUGUUGUUGUUAUUUACCGUAGAGAAUAAAGAGCGUGUUGUGUACAGACUAACCCCGUGGAGGUGAGCUCUAUCUUAACUAGGCUUGUGCACUGGCCUUGCCUUCCUUGUCCUCUUUCUCUGCAGAAUCUCCUUUCUGUUUCCCCUUAUGUCUCUUCGUUGUUGGGAUGAGGGGUUUCUUCUUUCUAUCUAGUCCUCAAAUUGGUAACAGGUGUCUUGUGUUUAUUUGAAAUACCUGUUUAUUUGCCUGAUUAUGUGUUUUAUUAUUAGUCGAUGCAUGCAUUUUUUUUUAAACAAUUUUCUUGCUUUUAUUAAUUGUCAAACACUUUUUUUUAAUGCUACAUUAAUAAAGUUAUUAUUAUUAUUUGUGA
Labrus mixtus (cuckoo wrasse) is the source of this 5621-nucleotide long non-coding RNA. RefSeq lists it as uncharacterized. The record is from RefSeq and is a predicted model, not a curated record. The transcript has 2 exons. NCBI's taxonomy places the organism in Eukaryota, Metazoa, Chordata, Actinopteri, Labriformes, Labridae.